CCUACGGGAGGCAGCAGUGAGGAAUAUUGGUCAAUGGCCGGAAGGCUGAACCAGCCAUGCCGCGUGAAGGUCAGUGCCCUAUGGGCGUUAAACUUCUUUUGUGCGGGAGCAAUAAUGGUCACGUGUGGCCAGACGAGAGUACCGUACGAAUAAGCAUCGGCUAACUUCGUGCCAGCAGCCGCGGUAAUACGGGGGAUGCAAGCGUUAUCCGGAUUUAUUGGGUUUAAAGGGUGCGUAGGCUGUGGGGUAAGUCAGCGGUGAAAUGCCCCCGCUCAACGGGGUGAAGUGCCAUUGAUACUGGCUGGCUGGAAUGCGGAUGCGGUGGGAGGAAUGUGUGGUGUAGCGGUGAAAUGCAUAGAUAUCACACAGAACACCGAUUGCGAAGGCAUCUCACGAAUCCGCGAUUGACGCUGAUGCACGAAAGCGUGGGUAUCAAACAGGAUUAGAUACCCGAGUAGUC
RNAcentral lists this ribosomal RNA (460 nucleotides) under uncultured bacterium. RNAcentral's name for it is "partial 16S ribosomal RNA". It matches the Rfam family "Bacterial small subunit ribosomal RNA", at positions 338 to 795 of the family's 1533-position model. The record is from RNAcentral.